This 482-nucleotide ribosomal RNA is filed under the name uncultured bacterium. Its description in RNAcentral is "partial 16S ribosomal RNA". It matches the Rfam family "Bacterial small subunit ribosomal RNA", at positions 30 to 507 of the family's 1533-position model. The record is from RNAcentral.
AUUGAACGCUGGCGGCAUGCCUUACACAUGCAAGUCGAACGGUAACGGGCCUUCGGGUGCCGACGAGUGGCGAACGGGUGAGUAAUACAUCGGAACGUGCCCGAUCGUGGGGGAUAACGAGGCGAAAGCUUUGCUAAUACCGCAUACGAUCUACGGAUGAAAGCAGGGGACCGCAAGGCCUUGCGCGGACGGAGCGGCCGAUGGCAGAUUAGGUAGUUGGUGGGAUAAAAGCUUACCAAGCCGACGAUCUGUAGCUGGGCUGAGAGGAUGAACAGCCACAAUGGGACUGAGACACGGCCCAGACUCCUACGGGAGGCAGCAGUGGGGAAUUUUGGACAAUGGGCGCAAGCCUGAUCCAGCCAUGCCGCGUGCAGGAUGAAGGCCUUCGGGUUGUAAACUGCUUUUGUACGGAACGAAAAGCCUUCUUUUAAUACAGGAGGGUCAUGACGGUACCGUAAGAAUAAGCACCGGCUAACUACGUG